This is a non-coding RNA of Colletotrichum gloeosporioides, 74 nucleotides long. The record is from Rfam. NCBI's taxonomy places the organism in Eukaryota, Fungi, Ascomycota, Sordariomycetes, Glomerellales, Glomerellaceae.
GGUCUGGUGGUGUAGUUGGUUAUCACGUUAGUCUCACACACUAAAGGUCUCCGGUUCAAGUCCGGGCCAGAUCA